UAAAAAUUAAAUUAAAAAAUUUAUAUUUAUAUAUAUAUAAAAAAGUAUCUAUAUAUAACAUUCUCUAUAUAUAAAAAUAAAACUUAUGAAAAAACUAUGUGAUAAAAACAACACAUUUUUAAUAUUACAUGAGCACUGUGUUUGACCACAUUUGUUACCAUCAGUAGCAUACUGUGUUCAAAAUAUAGGGCAGUUCGGGUGAGUUAUUUAUUGGUAUAUAUAUACUUGGCAGCUGGACACAACCAGUUACUUUUUAACUGAAGAAAAUCUGCAAUUGAGCAACAGCAUAAGGGUAUAAACAACAUCUUAAAUGCCAAACAUUUACUGAUCCUGAGAUCACUUUGGGAGAGAAAACAGAAAGCAAGAUUUCCCACCUUCCUUCCCAAAAAGAAUAAUAAUGCUAUAACACAAUAUAAAAAUUAAUUCAUUAAUCUUCCAGCACUCACUUUCAAAGACCAGAUUGUGAAGCCGUUUUAUGGAGUACAUAUCGAUGACAAUAGCCUGGCCUUGAAUGCCAUACUAAAAUAUAUUUCUUAUAUAUCACAUGUGAAAGCUUUAAUCUUGCAGACUCUCCAAUUCUUUCCAGCACAACUGCAAGGAGAUUGGAAGCUUUUACUUCAAUUUUCAGCUCAUUAUAUCUGAACCCUGAGAGACCACGGUAUGAACUAUGAUAUAAUGGAAGAGAGUUACAGUAUGAUCAUCUUGACAGACAGAUGAUAACCCCUCGUGGCAUAACUACUGCAAGGUGUUCUACAUGAAGCUGCCUUUUAAGACCACCUGGAAGGUUCAACUGUUCUAGAAUGCAGCAGCAUCGGCAAUCAUAGGCACACCCCAAUGUACCCAUGUGACAUUCCUCUUUCACAGGUUCCAUUGACUGCCACUUGAUUUUGGGUGCAAUUCAAGGGGAUGGCUGUAUUCUAUGAAACCUAACACAGUACAGUUAUUUGAAGCACCCGCUAUCUCCUCUGGUGUCUGUGCAGCCAAUAUGAGCAAAGAUUGGCACGCUCUGGAUCACUUUGAUUAAACAGCAUCAUCUAUCAGGAUUCAGGAAGCCUUUAUCGUGGUGCCUUUCCUCUAAAAGAAAAUUUCCUGUAAAGAUCUAAGUGUCUCCCACCGUAACUGUGUCCUGGAAGCCUUAAAAGACUUGGCUGCUCGGCUAAGCCCUAGGAUAAAGUAGUUGGAAAUCCUUGCUGGAUAUGUUUCAUGUGAUUGGCAGAUUCAUCAUAUUGUUUUUUUCUAUUGUAUUUUUAUUCUGUAUGUUUAUGCUGUAAGCAAUCCAGAAUCAAGCAGCACCUACAGUAAAUCAAAUAAAACAAAGGCACACAAGUUCUUCUAUAUCACGGGUGUCAAACUUGAUAGUGUCAUGUGAUGUAUCGUGAUGUAUUACAACAUUUUUUGCCUUUGCAGAGCCGGUAUGGGUGUGGUGUGUGCAUCUGCCCCGUGGGCUGCCAGUUUGACACCCUUGUUCUAUAUAAUUUCCUUCUAAUUAAUCUACAGGGAGGGAAGGGGGGAAGGAGGAUGGACAGUCAUAGGAACCAAUUACUUUAGUUUAAAAAACCCUCAAAUGUACUAGAAAUAUGGUUGGUUAUGUAACAUGGACCAUUAUUAUGUUAAAAUUAAUAGCUGUGCUUUCUAACACAUAUUAGCCAUGCUGGUUGCAGUAGCUUUAUAAUAAACCAUAGUUUAUAACAAACUUUGUUUUGCACAUUAAUGCAUUGAUAUUUGGCUACAUCUGUUCAGAACUAAAGGCUCAUCUAUGCACUUACCGUGUUCCAGCAUCAAAAUACUGUCGUUUGCUUUCCUUUUAUUGAGGUUCUGACCAUGGGGUUUUCAUUCUGGCCCCAGUCCCUUCUCUAUACAUUUGUCUUCUACAUUUGUGAAGAAAGAGCCUGGAAGAGGCUAGUCACCUCCAGGGCUCCAAUUGGUUUACUGCACAACUGCCCCUCCAAUAUAACCAAGACAUUAUAUACCUCCGUGACCAACUCUCUUUCAACUCCCAGGGUCCAGAGCAGGGGUGUCCAACCUUUAAGACUUGUGGGCUUCAAUUUCCUUCAACUUCAACUCUCUUCAACAUGGCUGGGUGGGGAAUAAUGGGAGUUAAAGUUCACAAGUCCUAAUGUUGCUAAGGCUGUUUCCCCACCCCAGCUUUCCUGGCAACCAAUGGUUAGGUUUCUAAUAUAAAAGAAAUGUUCCACAAGGCUGCAUUCAAGCUAUUGACCCCUGCACCACUCACUGUUACUUCCUAUGAUGAUAGUCUUCCCAUUUGGAAUCUUCUUUGUUAUCCCAACUUCAUCCCUUGCUUACCUGCCUACUUUUCUCUCCCAUUCAAGCAAUGCAGAUGCUUCACCUUCCCUUAUCCUCUCCCCUUUGCUGCGCCUUCUCUUAAUCUUCAGUUUAUUAGAGAACAACCCAAAGUUCCAUCCCUAAUGCUGACAGUAGCAGCUGCUGGUAACUACUGCCCUUAGAAGGAUCUGGGCAUUGGAUAAAUAUAAAUCUGUAUAAUUCACAUAUAGAUUAGUAAGCUUUUAUGUCAAAAAUACAUAAUAAAUAAAUUAUAAACAUAGUACUGAUAACUGCAAUAGCUAACAUAGUAACAAUGUACUAGGAAAAAUAAUGGAAGUAUCUAAACAAAUGGUGUAUAUAUAUAUAUAUAUAUAUAUAUAUAUAUAUAUAUAGAGAGAGAGAGAGAGAGAGAGAGAGAGAGAGAGAGAGAGAGAGAGAGAGAGAGAGGAGAGAGAGAGAGUUGAUAAU
This is a long non-coding RNA of Crotalus tigris (Tiger rattlesnake), 2751 nucleotides long. RefSeq lists it as uncharacterized. The transcript is spliced from 2 exons. The record is from RefSeq and is a predicted model, not a curated record. NCBI's taxonomy places the organism in Eukaryota, Metazoa, Chordata, Lepidosauria, Squamata, Viperidae.